UUUAUGGAGAGUUUGAUCCUGGCUCAGGAUGAACGCUGGCGGCGUGCCUAAUACAUGCAAGUCGAGCGAACGGACGAGAAGCUUGCUUCUCUGAUGUUAGCGGCGGACGGGUGAGUAACACGUGGAUAACCUACCUAUAAGACUGGGAUAACUUCGGGAAACCGGAGCUAAUACCGGAUAAUAUUUUGAACCGCAUGGUUCAAAAGUG
RNAcentral lists this ribosomal RNA (208 nucleotides) under Staphylococcus aureus. RNAcentral describes it as "partial 16S ribosomal RNA". It matches the Rfam family "Bacterial small subunit ribosomal RNA", at positions 1 to 203 of the family's 1533-position model. The record is from RNAcentral. Lineage: Bacteria; Bacillati; Bacillota; Bacilli; Caryophanales; Staphylococcaceae.